This 541-nucleotide ribosomal RNA is filed under the name uncultured eukaryote. RNAcentral describes it as "SSU rRNA". It matches the Rfam family "Eukaryotic small subunit ribosomal RNA", at positions 562 to 1121 of the family's 1831-position model. The record is from RNAcentral.
UGGUGCCAGCAGCCGCGGUAAUUCCAGCUCCAAUAGCGUAUAUUAAAAGUUGUUGACAGUUAAAAAGCUCGUAGUUGAAUUUCUGAUUAUGGAUGUAGCGGUUUCCGUUACAUUUGUAGUCAUCCACAUGAGAACCUUUCUCGGCCUUCACUGGUCGGUUGGGGGAUCAUGUACUUUACUUUGAAAAAAUCAGAGUGUUCAGGCAGGCGUUUGCAUGAAUACACAAGCAUGGAAUAAUGGAAUAGGACUAGGGUCCAUUUUAUUGGUUAUUGGACCAUAGUAAUGAUUAAUAGGGACAGUUGGGGGCAUUAGUAUUUAAUUGUCAGAGGUGAAAUUCUUGGAUUUAUUAAAAGACUAACUUAUGCGAAAGCAUUUGCCAAGGAUGUUUUCAUUAAUCAAGAACGAAAGUUAGGGGAUCAAAGACGAUCAGAUACCGUCCUAGUCUUAACUAUAAACUAUACCGACUAGGGGAUUGGUUGGGGUCAUUAGAGCCCAAUCAGUCACCUUAUGAGAAAAUCAAAGUCUUUGGGGUUCUGGGGGG